AUUGAACGCUGGCGGCAUGCCUUACACAUGCAAGUCGAACGCGAAAAGGGCUUCGGCUCUGAGUAGAGUGGCGUCCGGGUGAGUAACGCGUGGGUAAUCUACCUUUGGGUGGGGAAUAACUAGUCGAAAGGCUAGCUAAUACCGCAUAACGCAAUUUUCUAUUAGGGAAUUGUUAAAGCAGUAAUGUGCCUAAAGAUGAGCCUGCGUCUGAUUAGUUUGUUGGUAGGGUAAUGGCCUACCAAGACUACUAUCAGUAGCUGGUCUGAGAGGACGGCCAGCCACAAUGGCACUGAAACACGGGCCAUACUCCUACGGGAGGCAGCAGUGGGGAAUUUUGCGCAAUGAGCGAAAGCUUGACGCAGCAACGCCGCGUGAAGGAUGAAAUCCUUCGGGAUGUAAACUUCGCAAGUAUGGGAAGAAACAAAUGACGGUACCAUAUGUAAGCCCCGGCUAACUCCGUGCCAGCAGCCGCGGUAA
Molecule: ribosomal RNA, 477 nt
Filed under: uncultured bacterium
Lineage: Bacteria
Description: bacterial SSU rRNA
Rfam family: Bacterial small subunit ribosomal RNA
Source: RNAcentral